This 253-nucleotide ribosomal RNA is filed under the name uncultured bacterium. RNAcentral's name for it is "partial 16S ribosomal RNA". It matches the Rfam family "Bacterial small subunit ribosomal RNA", at positions 524 to 776 of the family's 1533-position model. The record is from RNAcentral.
UACGUAGGGGGCACGCGUUGUCCGGCAUCAUUGGGCGUAAAGAGCGUGUCGGCGGCUCGAUAAGUCUGCUGUGAAAGUCCAGGGCUCAACCCUGGAAGGCCGGUGGAAACUGUCGGGCUAGAGUCCGAAAGAGGCGAGUGGAAUUCCCGGUGUAGCGGUGAAAUGCGUAGAUAUCGAGAGGAACACCGGCGGCGAAGGCGGCCACCUGGACGAGGACUGACGCUGAGAUGCGAAAGCGUGGGGAGCAAACAGG